Hemibagrus wyckioides is the source of this 889-nucleotide long non-coding RNA. RefSeq lists it as uncharacterized. Lineage: Eukaryota; Metazoa; Chordata; Actinopteri; Siluriformes; Bagridae. The record is from RefSeq and is a predicted model, not a curated record. The transcript has 2 exons.
AUUCAAAAGCUAGGUGAUUUUUCAGGGUUUUUUUUGUUGACAGAUUGGGGAAGUAGGCAGUCUGUUCUAUUUUUAGCCCAAGCUUGGUGGCACGACUUCCUGUGAAGAGCCUUAACAUGGAAUGCUUGGUAGUUCUUUCACACACCCAAGCCACUUGUGUUUCAGAUUGAUUGACAUUGUGCCUCAGCUUGAUUGAAAUCACUUAACCUCUAGGCCGCUCUGCAUCUCAAGUGGGAGUCAAUAAGUCGAUGCUUGACGUGGGCCAUUUUCCAUGUCAGUGAUGCACAUAGGAAUUGUGUCAGUCAAAUGGAGCAACGGAGCAAUCAAGAUGAGGAAGUCACAUGCCGUCAAGCAGGAAACAACAAGGAAAUUUCUUCAUAGCCAAGUAGCAUGGAGCUAUCAGAAAAAGGAAGGAUUCAUUUACUUAACCAGUAAAUGCAUGGGAUUGGCUAUAAGAUAAAAACAUUGGACUGAAUAAAUGAUAAACAGUUUUUUUGUAGAACAUAUAAGGUUGAAUAUAUGUGAUGUGAAAUUUGCACAUUGAAUAUAUGUGAUGUGAAAUAAUUUUCCACGUCGAAAAUCUGGGAUUUAUUCCCGAACAGAACUUUUUUAUAAUUUGAAACAUUCAAAACAGAAAGAAGAAAUCUCAAAGAAAGACGUCUUGAAUAUUUAAUAUUCUUGCUUCUGCAUUAUCUCUACCUCCUUGUUUAAAUGUAAGCAAAUGAUAUUGUCCAUGUUAACCGCUUGGUACAAAAGCUCAAUUUUUCCUCAUGUCUAAACUCUUCUACUGAAGCGUACGCAUACGAUCAGAUGACAUUCAGAUUGAUUUGAUCGAAAAAUGGAUCAGAAGGUUUUGCACAAAUCUUUGGAGUCAGGCAAAAAAUAAAAA